Molecule: ribosomal RNA, 425 nt
Filed under: uncultured bacterium
Lineage: Bacteria
Description: bacterial SSU rRNA
Rfam family: Bacterial small subunit ribosomal RNA
Source: RNAcentral
AGGGAAUCUUCCACAAUGGGCGCAAGCCUGAUGGAGCAACACCGCGUGAGUGAAGAAGGGUUUCGGCUCGUAAAGCUCUGUUGUUGGAGAAGAACGUGCGUGAGAGUAACUGUUCACGCAGUGACGGUAUCCAACCAGAAAGUCACGGCUAACUACGUGCCAGCAGCCGCGGUAAUACGUAGGUGGCAAGCGUUAUCCGGAUUUAUUGGGCGUAAAGCGAGCGCAGGCGGUUGCUUAGGUCUGAUGUGAAAGCCUUCGGCUUAACCGAAGAAGUGCAUCGGAAACCGGGCGACUUGAGUGCAGAAGAGGACAGUGGAACUCCAUGUGUAGCGGUGGAAUGCGUAGAUAUAUGGAAGAACACCAGUGGCGAAGGCGGCUGUCUGGUCUGCAACUGACGCUGAGGCUCGAAAGCAUGGGUAGCGAAC